CAAAGGCUGACCUUACCCCAGCAGAGGACAUGGCCUUGGAGCUAAAUAAAGGCAGGCCCGUCUUAGAGGGGAUCCCUGGGGGGAAAGAGACGAGCAUAGGUUCCUCCCAAGAUGCCACCCGCUUCAUUCAAGUGUCUGGCAGCACUGUGUUCCUGUUAGAGCCACCAGCACAAGCACCAGACAAUGCUGAUCCAGUGAGUACUCCAUCAAAGGCAUACUGUAGGCCUGGCAUGUCUUGUCUACUAGCUUCAAUAUGAAUCCGAUUAAAUGUGAUAGGGUGAAGGCCCCAGUGCAGCAGCAAAUGAUGGAGACGAUGAUGAUGAGGAGGAGACCAUCUCUCUGGAUUCCAGAAGGCAUGAGGUAUCAUGGACCCAGAUGCUAUACAGUGGGAAAACCAGCCUGGCAACAUAGUGCGUAUUAAUAAAAGGACACCACAUCCUGCCAAAUUCCAGCUGCGCUAAUUGUAGUGUGUUCACAGAGCUCACAAGCUAUCAGAAAGUUGUAUGGCAACCACCUCC
This is a long non-coding RNA of Oncorhynchus keta (chum salmon), 518 nucleotides long. RefSeq lists it as uncharacterized. Lineage: Eukaryota; Metazoa; Chordata; Actinopteri; Salmoniformes; Salmonidae. The transcript is spliced from 3 exons. The record is from RefSeq and is a predicted model, not a curated record.